This 1332-nucleotide long non-coding RNA is filed under the name Malus domestica (apple). Its description in RNAcentral is "long non-coding RNA (MDOM_LNC020941)". Lineage: Eukaryota; Viridiplantae; Streptophyta; Magnoliopsida; Rosales; Rosaceae. The record is from RNAcentral.
AAAUUGUAAAUCUCAACGCCCCCAAAUUAACCGUGAAUUGCACUAAUUAACGCUCAGUUUUUCCACAAGUUAUUGGGUUGGAUGAUUGCAUACGACAACCCAAAACAUUCCCUACAAGUUCCCUACAUGAAUUGCAUAAUAGAGAUACAAGCAAGAAUCAUUAAGUUCUAUGAAAAACAUAAGCAUUGACGAUGCACUCGUUACUAUGAUUUGCAUGAAACUUAUGCCAAGAAUUUACUUAACGUGAUUGUGACUAGCAACCUUCACUACUUGUGAAUAUAAGUUCAUAACGAUUAGGUGAACACUCCCUUAUAUCUCUAGCGUCAAAUUCAUGCAUGUAAAUUAAGUAUGCAUUCUUAAUCGACAUACAAAAAUAAGCUAUCAAUCAAGCAGUUAAGCAAUUUAAAUCACAACUCAGAAAUCACAACUGAAGGUAAUCAAUUCAUAUUACAAAUAUAUUCAUGGCUUUGAAUUAACCUCUAGCCAAAAUAAAUUUAGUUACACAUUAUUAAAACAGAAAUAAAAUAUAAGUUUAGAAAGAUUUAACCGAGAGAGAAGGCAGCUUGCUACUUCUGUCUGUCCGUGCCUUUUCUUCGUUCUUUCUAUUUUCUUCUCACGUCUGACUGCUCUCUGCCCUCACUGCUCUCUGCCUUCCCUGUCAGUUUCUUCCCUGCUCUCUUUAUUUUCUGCCUUCCCCCCCAGUCUUCUCUCUCUCUCUGCCCGUGUUAUCUGUCCUCACUUCUUUUAUUUUUUUUUUUUUUUUAUUUUUUUAUUUUUUUUUAUCCUUUCUUUUAUUGAUGUCUGCCAUUCUUUGCUUUUAUCAUUUUUUGUUUUUCUUUCCGCCAUUCCUUUCUUCUUUCUUUCCUCCACCAUUCCUUUCUUUAUGUUUCUUUUAUUCCUCCAUCAUUCCAUGUCUCCCCUCUUAUUUAUUUUCUUAUUCUUCUUUCUCCACACAGUCUGCAAGUCUCUCCCUUUCCUCUUUUAUUAUUCAAUUUCUUGAUAGUCCACUUCCUUCCUUUGUUUAAUGCCGUGUUGCACUCUGUCUUUUCUCUAUUCUUUUCUGCCCAUUUUGUUUGAAAUUAAUCCUACAACAAAAUUAACUGUACAUUAACACAAGGUAAGGUAAAAUGCCACAAUUUUAACACAAAAACAUCCAAAGACUUUAGAAAUGAAUGGUAUAAAUGCAUGAAAUAUAUGAGUGAUCAAAUACCCCCAAACUUACAUUUUUGCUAGUCCUCUAGCAAAAGAAAACAUGAAAAGUACAAACAUGAAAAACAUUAGUUUCCCCCUAUGUGACCCUCAUAGAAUUUCAUUCAAGAAAACAAAUCAUCA